AAUUCUCAACCACACUAAUUUUUAUUGGUGUGGCUUGGAUUAUGGGGUUUCUGCAGGCUUUAAAACCAGCUUCCCUGAAAUGCAUUAGUGGUAUCUGAGCAGACUACAGGUGUGAUAACUAUCUAUGCCUUUGCUGAAAACAGAUUACACUGCUUCAAACAACAAACUAUUGUUUUU
This 177-nucleotide unclassified non-coding RNA is filed under the name uncultured Inocybe. RNAcentral describes it as "sequence contains ITS2". The record is from RNAcentral. Lineage: Eukaryota; Fungi; Basidiomycota; Agaricomycetes; Agaricales; Cortinariaceae.